Molecule: ribosomal RNA, 416 nt
Filed under: uncultured cyanobacterium
Lineage: Bacteria; Bacillati; Cyanobacteriota
Description: bacterial SSU rRNA
Rfam family: Bacterial small subunit ribosomal RNA
Source: RNAcentral
GAUGAACGCUGGCGGUCUGCUUAACACAUGCAAGUCGAACGGGCUCUUCGGAGCUAGUGGCGGACGGGUGAGUAACGCGUGAGAAUCUGCCUUCAGGAGGGGGAUAACGACUGGAAACGGUCGCUAAUACCCCAUAUGCCUCCGGGUGAAAAGUAAUUCGCCUGAAGAUGAGCUCGCGUCAGAUUAGCUAGUUGGGGGGGUAAGAGCCUACCAAGGCGACGAUCUGUAGCUGGUCUGAGAGGAUGACCAGNCACACUGGGACUGAGACACGGNCCAGACUCCUACGGGAGGCAGCAGUGGGGAAUUUUCCGCAAUGGGCGCAAGCCUGACGGAGCAAGACCGCGUGGGGGAUGACGGCCUAAUGGUUGUAAACCCCUUUUCUCUGGGAAGGAGACUGACGGUAACCAGAGGAAUCA